This 72-nucleotide transfer RNA is filed under the name Blastocatellia bacterium. Its description in RNAcentral is "tRNA-Val". It matches the Rfam family "tRNA". From Rfam's summary of the family: Transfer RNA (tRNA) molecules are approximately 80 nucleotides in length. Their secondary structure includes four short double-helical elements and three loops (D, anti-codon, and T loops). Further hydrogen bonds mediate the characteristic L-shaped molecular structure. tRNAs have two regions of fundamental functional importance: the anti-codon, which is responsible for specific mRNA codon recognition, and the 3' end, to which the tRNAs corresponding amino acid is attached (by aminoacyl-tRNA synthetases). tRNAs cope with the degeneracy of the genetic code in two manners: having more than one tRNA (with a specific anti-codon) for a particular amino acid; and 'wobble' base-pairing, i.e. permitting non-standard base-pairing at the 3rd anti-codon position. Lineage: Bacteria; Pseudomonadati; Acidobacteriota; Blastocatellia. The record is from RNAcentral.
GGGUACGUAACUCAGCGGUAGAGUGCUAUCCUCACACGGUAGAAGUCGCUGGUUCGAAUCCAGCCGUACCCA